Rhinolophus ferrumequinum (greater horseshoe bat) is the source of this 822-nucleotide long non-coding RNA. RefSeq lists it as uncharacterized. The transcript is spliced from 5 exons. The record is from RefSeq and is a predicted model, not a curated record. Lineage: Eukaryota; Metazoa; Chordata; Mammalia; Chiroptera; Rhinolophidae.
UGGCCGGCUCUCCCAACAACCCACCGGCGUCGCAGGCUGGGUCCCCAGGCGGGAAGCGCCUCGGCGCCGCGGGGCCCAGGGUCGGGGGUCGCUGGGGGCCUCGCUGCAGACCUUGCGGUGGGCGGGGGGGCGGCCUCACUGCCAGGACCGGCCCCGCCGGGAAAGGGGCGGCGGCGGGUGACUGCAGGCGGGAGCCCGAAGGGGACCGCAAGAGGAGAGCUAUUAUCCGUCCUGGUAACUGACAAGAUUAAAAUUAAAUUUGGUUGAUGAUGGUACUGAACAGCUCUUAUUUGAGAUACGCCAUUUUGAAGACAGACUGGAGUUUUAUCCUUGAGAAUAAAGGAAAUCGUUACGAAAGUCUGUAUUUUAUGUAGCAAAAAUGUGAAUCCUGAGACUGAAUCUCUAAAGGGCCUGUACAACGUAAUAGAUGUUGGUGGAAGCAUUUACACCCAGUCAGCUUGAAGAGUAUCAAAUGGACCACCCCACUGAGAAAUCAAGAUGGCAGCCCACUAUGGGAAAUAGAGGAAAAUGGAUUAAUACAAGAGUGCUGUGAUAAUAAACAACCAAGACAGGGUUCUUUUAACAUGGAUUUCAUGAAAUGAAGACAAUAGGUUUCUUACCCAACACAAAUGGACAGUGGAUUUGACUUUCUAAAGACUUGUAUCAUUAAAACAAAUCCAUUUUUGACAUUUGGAGAAGAAAGAUGGCACAUAAACAAAGAUGAUAGUUUGUAUGCCUGGAAUUUUUUUCAGUCUGAUUUGUAUGAGUAUGACCUUGUGGAAUGUUAACUUUAAUAAAAUUUCUAACACUUUAAAAUUUCUC